GGAGUGUGGCUCAGCGGAAGAGCACUUGCCUAGCACAUGCGAGGCCCUGGGUUCGAUCCUCAGCACCA
RNAcentral lists this transfer RNA (68 nucleotides) under Marmota monax (woodchuck). Its description in RNAcentral is "tRNA.Ala". Lineage: Eukaryota; Metazoa; Chordata; Mammalia; Rodentia; Sciuridae. The record is from RNAcentral.